Molecule: ribosomal RNA, 253 nt
Filed under: uncultured bacterium
Lineage: Bacteria
Description: partial 16S ribosomal RNA
Rfam family: Bacterial small subunit ribosomal RNA
Source: RNAcentral
UACGGAGGAUGCAAGCGUUAUCCGGAAUGAUUGGGCGUAAAGCGUCCGCAGGUGGCUGUGUAAGUCUGCUGUUAAAGAGUGAGGCUCAACCUCAUAAAGGCAGUGGAAACUACAUGGCUAGAGUGCGUUCGGGGCAGAGGGAAUUCCUGGUGUAGCGGUGAAAUGCGUAGAGAUCGGGAAGAACAUCGGUGGCGAAAGCGCUCUGCUGGACUGCAACUGACACUCAGGGACGAAAGCUAGGGGAGCGAAUGGG